AUACGGAGGAUCCGAGCGUUAUCCGGAUUUAUUGGGUUUAAAGGGAGCGUAGGCGGACGCUCAAGUCAGUUGUGAAAGUUUGCGGCUCAACCGUAAAAUUGCAGUUGAUACUGGGUGUCUUGAGUACAGUAGAGGCAGGCGGAAUUCGUGGUGUAGCGGUGAAAUGCUUAGAUAUCACGAAGAACUCCGAUUGCGAAGGCAGCCUGCUGGACUGUAACUGACGCUGAUGCUCGAAAGUGUGGGUAUCAAACAGGAUUAGAUACCCUGGUAGUCCACACAGUAAAUGAUGAAUACUCGCUGUUUGCGAUAUACAGUAAGCGGCCAAGCGAAAGCGUUAAGUAUUCCACCUGGGGAGUACGCCGGCAACGGUGAAACUUAAAGGAAUUGACGGGG
This 393-nucleotide ribosomal RNA is filed under the name uncultured bacterium. RNAcentral's name for it is "partial 16S ribosomal RNA". It matches the Rfam family "Bacterial small subunit ribosomal RNA", at positions 523 to 918 of the family's 1533-position model. The record is from RNAcentral.